RNAcentral lists this long non-coding RNA (1628 nucleotides) under Lactuca sativa (garden lettuce). RNAcentral describes it as "long non-coding RNA (LSAT_LNC009715)". The record is from RNAcentral. Lineage: Eukaryota; Viridiplantae; Streptophyta; Magnoliopsida; Asterales; Asteraceae.
UUUUGUAUUAAUUUAAAAUUAUAUUACCACAUAAAUAUAAAUUUAUAUUAAAUAUAACUACUUUUUAGAAGUGUUAGAUCAAUAACUAGUAACAAAAUUUUAACAAAAACCACAAUACCUGUAUCUUCGAUUAGAAAACACAUAACAAAAAGCAAAAAAUUGUGUCUCAAAUGAAAAAACACACGCCAUAAUACGUCAUGGCGCGCCAUAUCAUGCCUUGUCAUGCGUCACGCCUAACAGCAACGUUAUGAAGCUUUUCGUAACGGUGGAGCCACGCCUCACGCCAUGAUGCGCCUUUUAGAACACUGGAAAAUAUAUUCUUAUUUUCAGCCAAGUAAACAUGACAAUGGAAUGGAAUGGUUCAUUUCAUUCCGCUGUUCAUUGUAGCUUUUAUAGUUAACAGAUCAAGUUAUGGAGUUCUAAAUGCAUUAAACCCUGCUCCAGAAACAAAGACAAUUAGUCAAAAACAUUUAUAAAACAUAAAAAAAUCAAAUGAUACUUUUACCAGAAUCAUAUGCCACACACACCACCAAGCUUCCCUCGAGAAACCGGAAGACAUAAUGCUUAUAAAUCUGGAAAAAAAAACAAAAACAAAAAAUUUAGUUCUAAUUCCAUAUAACAUUUAUAAAAAAUUGAAAAAGAAGGAAAGAUAGGGAUUACAUUCUACAUGGAAGUAAAUAUGGAUCAAUGAACCAUCCUUUAUCUUUUGUAUCCUUGUGAAAUUCAAAAAGAAAAAUAUAUGACAAUAUCUAUAUCAAAAUUAAGAAAUGAAAAUAAAAAACAAUGAACAUGCUUGACAUUGAACAGUAGUUAGAAAAUAAAUUUAGGAAGAAAUGAGCAAAUUGAAGAAAAUUUACAUGAAUCCUUAAGAUCAACUUUAGUGAAAUUUAAUCUAGUUGUCUUCAAAUAGAUUAUAUAAAGGGAAAACUAUCAACUAAAAUAGAUUACCGUCAAUAAUUUAAUAUCAUCUCAAAUGUAUAUAAACCUACCUAGAUGUAUAUUCAAAUGUUUUUUUUGCAAAAUUUCAAUUUUUUUUACCAUGAUAUGAAGCAAUUUGUCAUUUUUUAAAACAUAUUGUGCAAGAAUGCUUCACAUUUUUACCAACUCAUCGGUACUUGCAAAAUGAGGCUUUAAUAAUUGGAUAUUGGUAAGAGUAAACAAAAGAAUUAAAGAUCAAAUUACUAAAAUCAAAAGUACAUAGUUUUAUAUUUGGAAAAAAUGAUGGCAACAUCAAAACCUUAUAAUUUUUAUAAUAUUCUAUAUUUAGUAGUGAUAGAUCAACAGCAAUCUUGUUAACAUUUUUUGCACAUUUUUUUCGCAUAUAAGCGAAUAAAACUUGAAUACCAUAAAUUUUUUUCCGUUAAACGAUUCUCAUAUAUAUUAUGUACUUCCAAGCGAGACAAUAACACAUGGCGUUCACAAAUCUGUAAGUAAAAAAAUCACUUUUACUAUUAGAGGGGCAGUUUUGACAAAUUUCUCAAAUUUUGAGUCACACUUCAUCUCUAAUGGGCAACAUGGGUAAGAUUUAUGACAUAAGGACCAACCACAUAAGGAUAAGAGAAAGUGAAUUGAACUUGCAAUUUCCACCAAAUCACCGGGACUGUUUGUGUAACAUGAUCAAACAAUUU